GUUAACUAGAUACCAUUGAGAUGGGAGCCAUCUCUGUGGGCCCCGCUGUCAAUAACGUGGGGUAAAUAAGUUGUAUGGAUAAUCUGAUAUGAAGCAUUAUUUGAAGUUAUUACAUAGUCUCAUGUGUGAUUUUAUUCUAAGAUUUUAAGUUAAAACUGAUAAAUAUUCUCAACUUACUUUCAUAGUAUAAUAGUGAUAUGACUGCAUGAUGUGAACUCAUUGUUGACUACUCUAAGGUGACUUCUGGAUAUAUGGAUUGAUGUUUGAACAAUAUGUUUAAAGGUGCUGCCCAAUUGAUAUUUGUCACAUAUUUUUAGAAUUAUGCCUUCAAUAUAUUAUGACCCACCAAAAAAGAAUGCCAAUUAAAUGUUAAAAAAUGAAAAAUUGCUGAGGGCUUCAACUUUUUGAAAAAUAUGGAUUUUACUUUAAGAAAAAUAUAACACAAAGAAGCAAAUUAUUUCUAUCAGGAAAAUUGUGGAAUAAAAUUUGUA
Molecule: long non-coding RNA, 491 nt
Filed under: Mytilus galloprovincialis (Mediterranean mussel)
Lineage: Eukaryota; Metazoa; Mollusca; Bivalvia; Mytilida; Mytilidae
Source: RNAcentral